UACGUAGGUGGCGAGCGUUGUCCGGAUUUACUGGGCGUAAAGAGCGCGCAGGCGGUCGUUCAAGUCGCGUGUGAAAGCCCCCGGCUCAACUGGGGAGGGUCACGCGAUACUGAUCGGCUCGAGGGCAGGAGAGGGUAGUGGAAUUCCCGGUGUAGUGGUGAAAUGCGUAGAUAUCGGGAGGAACACCAGUGGCGAAGGCGACUACCUGGCCUGUUAUUGACGCUGAGGCGCGAAAGCUAGGGGAGCAAACGGG
Molecule: ribosomal RNA, 253 nt
Filed under: uncultured bacterium
Lineage: Bacteria
Description: partial 16S ribosomal RNA
Rfam family: Bacterial small subunit ribosomal RNA
Source: RNAcentral